AGAUUACAGACUCAAUCGAGGAUAUGUAUUUGAACUCCGGCCAAAUUCCGAUCAGGCUGUCGUUCAUCCCACAUUCUCAAAUUAGCUCGCGUCUCUUAAUCUAGAUCGAAUUCCGAUCUUAGAUCGGAGACAUUGAGUCCACUCAGGUCCAUUCAUUGAAUUAAUUCGAAUUGGUUGCAUUGAUAUUCUAAACCGUAUCAACUGGUGCUUUCAAGUUUUCUACUCAUUUUUUUCAACAGGAAUAACAAAAAGAAAUUUUCAGAUGGCCAAAAAUAGCCAAGUGGAGGAAAUUGAAGCUAAUAUGAAAAGACUCCAAGAAUUCCAACUAUCACAAACAAGGGAGAUGACCGAAUUAAGGAAUUUAAUCAACAACAAUUCCUUAAAAUUAGCAAAGCAACUGGAAAAAAUCAUAGAAAAACAAUAUGACGAUGAAAAUAUAAAGAUAGAUGGAGAACCACACAUGAAAGGUGAUUCAAGAAAAUCUCAAGUAGAUGCCCUGAUUGAUCCGGAAAGGCCAGCAUAUGCAGCGAGUAUGCAUGGGAAUCCUGAAUACAUUCCCCCAAAACAUAUCAAAUUUGACAUGCCCAAAUUCGAUGGCAAGGAACCUGAGCUCUGGAUUUUUAUGGCUAGAAGAUUAUUCAUCUUCUACAACACACCAGAAGAACAAAAAUUGAUUAUAGCCUCUUUCAACAUGCAAGGAAUAGCCCUUAAAUGGUUCCUAUGGAUGGAGUCCAGCAAUUAUUUAACUACAUGGCCUGCACUUGUCAAGUCUAUACUAAAGAAAUUUAAUCCAACCACUUACACCAUUCCAGAUGGAAAGCUCAGCAAAUUGAUCCAAACUACAACAGUUGCUGAAUUCGUGAGAAAGUUUGAAGAUUAUUCAUCAAAGGCAAUCGGAAUCCCUGAUUGGUUAUUGCUAGAAAUGUUCUUAUCAGGUCUAAAAGAUGAAAUUCAGAAGGAAGUAGUUAGAGCAAAACUUGAAGAUUUACAAGAAGCUAUGGAGCUGGCUGUUCAUCUUGAAAAACAAGGAACAAGAAGCACGUCAACAUUCAAACAAGGAGGCUACAAAUCUUUCCAAGGAAAACAGUCAUGCUACACAAAAAAUAAUACUGAGGGAGCAUUCAAUCCUAAUACCACCAGCAACACUCCAAAAACAGAAAAUCUAAACCGAAACUUCAAGAGGCUCACUUUUGCUGAGAGAAAAGAAAGAACUUCCAAAGGAUUAUGCUUUAACUGUGAUGAGAAAUUCUCAUCGGGACACAAAUGUAAAGGAAAGCUAUUCAGAUUUUCAGCUGAAGACAAUACAUUCUGGGAACUAGCUGAUACAGAUGAAGGAGAAGAUGAAGCUGAAAUUAAAAUUAAAAUUAAAAUUUUAGAGUUUGAAGAAGAGUCUGAAAUCAGUCUUCAAGCAUUACAGGGAAAAAUUGGUAUAAGAACCAUCAGACUGGAAGGUUUCAUUAAAAGCCAAAGUGUUAGUGUUCUCAUUGAUACCGGAUCGACCCACAACUUUAUGCAAGAGGAAGUGGCCAAGAACCUAUAAUUAACUGUUUGUGUUAUAAAUCCGUUCAAAGUCUCAAUAGGAAGUGGAGAGAAAUUAACAUGUGAUAAGGCCUGUAGAGGUGUGAAAAUAAAAAUCCAAGGCACUAUCAUAGCCUUGGACUUAUUCCUACUGCAUAUGGCUGGAACAAAUAUAGUCAUUGGAACCCAAUGGCUGAAGCAACUAGGAGAUGUCGUUUCUAAUUACAAGGACUUGGUGAUGAAAUUCUAUUGGAAAGGUGAGCAAGUAAUAUGGCAAGGACUUUCCUGGUUGGACAGUGAACCACCCACCUCAGGGCAGUUAAAGUCACUAGAAAAGGGAUCAUCAGAGGCAUAUCUUUGUUAUUUUGAAGUAGUAAAUGUAGAUUCCAGCAAACUACAAAAUUCUGAAAUUCAGGAAGUAAAUAAAAUAGUAGAAGAGCAUACUGAGAUAUUUGAAGAACCCCAAGGACUUCCACCUCAUAGAGAGUAUGACCACCACAUACACCUAGAACCCAACUCAACACCCAUAAAUGUGAGGCCCUAUAGAUACCCUCAAUUUCAGAAAGGAGAGAUUGAGAAACUGAUCAGAGAGCUAUUAGAACAAGGAGUGAUACAACCAAGUACUAGCCCCUAUUCAUCACCUGUUCUAUUAGUAAAGAAAAAAGAUGGGGGAUAUAAACUAUGUGUUGACUAUAGAACACUCAAUGCCAUCACCAACAAAGAUAAGUUUUCCAUACCCACGGUAGAUGAACUAUUGGGAGAACUAAGAGGCUCGAUGAUUUUUUCUCAACUAGACUUGAGGUCAGGGUUCCAUCAAAUCAGAAUCAACCCAAAGGAUGUAGAGAAAACUGCUUCCAGACCACACCAAGAUCAUUAUGAGUUCUUGGUAAUUCCCUUUGGAUUAACCAAUGCUCCAGCCACAUUUCAAGCUGUAAUGGACAGAGUUUUUCGGCAAUACCUCAGAAAAUUUGUUAUAAUCUUUUUUGAUGAUAUCUUGGUAUACAGUUCAUCCCUAGAGAAUCACCUAGAGCAUCUGAAAAUUAUAUUUGAAAUUUUAAGACAAAAUCAGUUGCUUGCCAAGAAGUCCAAAUGCUCUUUUGGACAGACCACUAUGGGAUUUCUAGGACAUAUAAUCAGCCAAGAAGGAGUAAAUCCAGACCCAGCAAAAAUACAAGCAAUUAUGGAUUGGCCAACUCCUAAAACCUUAAAGAAGCAAAGAGGGUUUUUAGGGCUGAGUGGUUACUACAGGAGAUUUAUAAAGGGUUAUGCACAACUAGCUACACCCAUGACUGAAUUAUUGAAAAAAGAUGCCUUUAAGUGGUCAGAAGAAGCCACCAAAAGUUUUGAAAUUCUAAAGACUGCAAUGACCUCAGCCCCAAUCCUUCAAUUUCCUGAUUUUCAAAAAGAGUUCACAGUCGAAACUGAUGCUUGCAAUUCAGGUAUAGGGGCUGCCCUCCUACAAGAAAAUCUUCCAAUCUCCUUCUUCAGUAGCAAAAUUAGUGGAAGACUAUCGGCCGCCUCAGUAUAUAUCAAAGAAAUGUAUGCCAUCACACAAUCAGUAGCAACGUGGAGACAUUACCUCCUUGGCAGACAUUUCAUCAUCAAAACAGACCACAGAAGCUUAAAAAAUCUAUUAACUCAGGUGAUACAGACACCAGAGCAACAAGUAUUCCUUUGCAAGCUUCUAGGUUAUGACUUUACUAUUAUUUAUAAACCAGGAAAGUUCAAUCAAGUGGCUGAUGCUUUGUCUAGAAGCUAUGAAGAUGAGGAAGAAAUUCUAUAUUCCAACAAGGCUGAAGUGACCAAGGGUUCUAUGCUAGCAUUUUCCAUUCCUAUACAUCACCUUAUAGAAGAAAUAAAAAUAUUUAACUCCAACUCAGAAAGAGCAAGGGCAAUGAUAAACAAAAUCUUUGAAGAAAAUCUAAAACCUCAAGGAUAUGAAUUUAAGAAUGAUUUAAUUUUCUUUAAAGGAAGGAUAUUGGUAAUUCAAGGCUCGGAAAUUACUCUGAAAAUAUUGAAGGAGUUUCAUGAUGGAUAUAUUGGAUGACACUCAGGUAUAGAAAGAACCUUCAACAGGAUUUCAAAAAAAUUUUGGUGGCAAGGAAUGUAGAAGGAGAUAAAAAAUUAUGUGAAAGAAUGCCAUAUCUGUCAGAAAAUAAAGUCUUCAAAUCAAAAAAGGAAUGGAUUGCUUAUGCCCUUACCAAUCCCACCCUCAGUUUUGCAUGACAUAUCUGUGGAUUUCAUCACGGGUCUACCAAAGGUACAAAAAAAAUCCGUUAUAAUAGUGGUAGUAGAUAGACUCUCUAAAUCAUGUCAUUUAGGAGCUCUUACAUCUAACUACAAUGCUCAUAUGGUUGCUGAAUUUUUUGUGAAUGAGAUCAUAAGGCUACAUAGUUAUCCAAAUUCUAUUGUAUCUGAUCGAGACAAAGUUUUUGUGUCUAAGUUUUGGAAGGAGUUAAAUAGAUUGAGUGGGACAAAGCUCAACUUCACUUCGGCCUAUUACCCUCAGAGUGAUGGACAAACUGAGGUAGUCAACAGAGGAAUAGAAAUGUAUCUAAGGGCUAUGGCUCAUGAAGAGCCUAAGGAAUGGCUAAAACUAUUACCAUGUGCUGAAUUAUGGUUCAACACCAACUACAAUGCAUCAUUAGGGUAGACACCAUUCCAGACAUUGUAUGGAAAGGAAGUCGCACUGUUUCCUAAUUUCACAUCAGAAAAUUCUGAUAUUGAAGCAGUAGAAACAGAAAUUAAAGUAAGAAAAGAAGAAAUGGAAGUUGUAAAGAAAAAUCUGAUGAAGGCCCAAAACAGAAUAAAGGUUAAUGCUGAUAAAGGAAGAAGAGAGAUUGAAUUCAAUGAAGGAGAUAUGGUAUUAGUAAAAUUGCAACCAAAUCGACAAUUAUCUCUAGCAUUCAGAUUAAACAACAAAAUCUGCCAAAAAUUCUUUGGCCCAUACAAAAUUAAAAAGAAAAUCAGCAAGGUGGCUUACAAGCUUAGUCUGCCAGAAGGGAGCAGGAUCCACGAUUGUUUCCACAUAAGCAAGCUAAAAAAAAUAUUACGGCUCUGAACCACCAGAAAUGGAGCUUCACCCAUUGAUCUCUGUAAGCAAUAACCCAAUUUUAUAUCCUAUAGCUAUACUAGAUUGCAGGGAAAUCUAUAGGCAAGGGAAAAAAAUACCUCAAUCACUCAUACAAUGGAGCAACUCGUUGUUGGAAGACUCAUCAUGGGAGGACAACACCAGCCUGCAACAACUAUUCUCUUCCAUCCACCUUGAGGACAAGGCGAAAUUCCGGGGAGGUAGACAUGAUACGAAUGCGGUGGUGAAAAAUCUGGAGAAAGUCACGCAGCUGGAGGAAGAUCCAGUGACCGGAGCAGCACCUGAAGGAGUCGUCGACGGUGAGGAAUCCAAAGAAUCGACAACAAAUCAAGGGAUCCGCAGAUCCGCCCGAAUAAAGAACCCAUCAGUUUGGGUGACCCAAUAUGAGAAAUAAGAAAAGGGGGAAGGCGGAGGACCAGAG
RNAcentral lists this long non-coding RNA (5030 nucleotides) under Zostera marina. Its description in RNAcentral is "long non-coding RNA (ZMAR_LNC003023)". Lineage: Eukaryota; Viridiplantae; Streptophyta; Magnoliopsida; Alismatales; Zosteraceae. The record is from RNAcentral.